RNAcentral lists this ribosomal RNA (465 nucleotides) under uncultured bacterium. RNAcentral describes it as "partial 16S ribosomal RNA". It matches the Rfam family "Bacterial small subunit ribosomal RNA", at positions 28 to 507 of the family's 1533-position model. The record is from RNAcentral.
GACGAACGCUGGCGGCGUGCUUAACACAUGCAAGUCGUACGGUAAGGCCCUUUCGGGGGUACACGAGUGGCGAACGGGUGAGUAACACGUGAGUAACCUGCCCACAACUUUGGGAUAACGCUAGGAAACUGGUGCUAAUACUGGAUAUGUGCUCCUGCUGCAUGGUGGGGGUUGGAAAGCUCCGGCGGUUGUGGAUGGACUCGCGGCCUAUCAGCUUGUUGGUGGGGUAGUGGCCUACCAAGGCGGCGACGGGUAGUCGGCCUGAGAGGGUGACCGGCCACAUUGGGACUGAGAUACGGCCCAGACUCCUACGGGAGGCAGCAGUGGGGAAUAUUGCACAAUGGGCGCAAGCCUGAUGCAGCAACGCCGCGUGCGGGAUGACGGCCUUCGGGUUGUAAACCGCUUUCAGCAGGGACGAAGCUUUUUGUGACGGUACCUGCAGAAGAAGCACCGGCUAACUACGUG